Peromyscus maniculatus bairdii (prairie deer mouse) is the source of this 1616-nucleotide non-coding RNA. Lineage: Eukaryota; Metazoa; Chordata; Mammalia; Rodentia; Cricetidae. The record is from RefSeq and is a predicted model, not a curated record.
CACACACACACACACACACACACACACACACACACACACCGUUGUCUCUGCCCCAGUCUCUUCCGUAAGAAGAGUCUGGCAAGUUGUGUGAAGCCUUUUUCCCAGAGACAAGUCCCCUUCUGGCACCAAGUGCCAGCCUUUUCCUUCUCUCAACAAGAGACCCUUGUGGAAAUUCCAGUUUCUUGGGGUCCAUUUUGUUUCAAUAAUCUAACAGCCAAGAUGCGGGGGCAGAAGUGUCUCUUUAGAAUAUCUUCAUCCUUGCCAGAACAGUUACAGAAUCCUAUGGCUGCCCACUACUCACGGGUAAAAGGUGGUGCGACACCUGAUGACCCAGUCAGUCACUUCAUUAAGUAAUUCUGACCUCCGAUUAUGAAUUAGGUUUCAGUGGAUGGGGAAAUGGGCAUGAUGCUCAGUCACCUCUGCCAUCUGAUAUAAAGUGACCUCUAGUCCUGUUACUUUACAGCCCCAAAUUCCAGCUAAUCUCCACUUAAACUAAUCCUCUAGGCCACUCUAGACUUCCCUGCAGCAGUUCUGGAGAAUUAUUGCCUCUUUUGCUUAGGCUCUUCCUUCUGAAUUCCUUUCCCAGCCUGAUGUUACCCAAAUCCCAACUCACUUCUCAAGACUUGCUUUCCACUCUGUCUACCUACAGCAUAUGCAUUAUAUUUCCAUACAAAUAUAUAAAUAUAUGUGUUUGAAUAUGUGUAAUACAGCUAGUUUUGGUCUGUACAGUCCCCUUUUCCCACCAGGAACUGUUUACAUUUCUUAAUUUCUCAGCCAUUGGCACCUUUUUCAAUUGGCCUCAUUUCUGUUUGUAAGGCUUGCUUUGCUGUAGUUUAAAACUUGCGUCUCGUGUCCAUCUUGCAAGUCUCCCUGCCCUUGACAGCUCAACCCGAGGAAGCGCCAGCUUGGGCUGAGACGCACCCUGCACAUUUCUCUCCCUCUCAGUCUGCUGGGCACAGCUCCUUUGACAGUGGAAAAAAUAGUGGGAGAGGAAAGACCGUGAACAGCAAGAUGCAGCCUUCUCCUCCAGCUGCAUGUUAAUGUUCUGCAGCCCAGAUGCACUCCUAAGGGAGUUGCUAGACACCCAUUGCUAUUGAGAGCCGCUAGCAAAAGUCCAUGCGGGGAAUUCAUUACAUUGCCACCUGGCUAACUAUUCCAGAGGCACCAAGCCCGACCCUCUCAGCCAACACCCUACCAUGUUUCUCUGAUGUACUCAGUUCUUUGUUCCCAUGAAUGCUGCUCUGGCAAGGCUACAGCCAUCGAUCUCAUGUCCUGUCGGCCGAUUCUCAGAUCCGCAGCAGCAUUAGAGAUGCAUCUAUGUACUGCUUCAGAGUACAAACUCAAGCAAGAGGUUUCUGGUCACAUCUCCAUCUGGCGUCACCCUUUGAUGUGUGGAUCCUUCAUCUCUCGGUAACUGUUUUCCUCCUAAAAUAACGGAAGCAGCCUCAUCGAAGUGGAGACAGCUCUGUGAAGGUUCCUAAUGAUGUUCAUGGUUCCCAGUUCCUGGUGUUCCUGGCUUCUGAUUGUCCCGAGAACUAAAGCAACUGUGCGCUUUGGAAUGCUUCCUGUGUCUGCUUUGUGGCGGGUGCUCAGUAAUUUAGUCAGCUGAAGAAAAA